UCCUCCGUGGCGCAAUUGGCUAGCGCGUCUGACUGUUAAACUAGUCUUGGUUCGGCGAUCAGGAGGUUCGUGGUUCGAGCCCACGCGGGGGAG
Molecule: non-coding RNA, 93 nt
Organism: Didymosphaeria variabile
Lineage: Eukaryota; Fungi; Ascomycota; Dothideomycetes; Pleosporales; Didymosphaeriaceae
Source: the annotation of a RefSeq genome assembly